UACGAAGGGGACUAGCGUUGUUCGGAAUUACUGGGCGUAAAGCGCACGUAGGCGGAUUCGUAAGUCAGGGGUGAAAUCCCGGGGCUCAACCUCGGAACUGCCUUUGAUACUGCGGAUCUCGAGUCCGAUAGAGGUGGGUGGAAUUCCUAGUGUAGAGGUGAAAUUCGUAGAUAUUCGGAAGAACACCAGUGGCGAAGGCGACUAACUGGACAAGUACUGACGCUGAGGUACGAAAGCGUGGGGAGCAAACAGG
RNAcentral lists this ribosomal RNA (253 nucleotides) under uncultured bacterium. RNAcentral's name for it is "partial 16S ribosomal RNA". It matches the Rfam family "Bacterial small subunit ribosomal RNA", at positions 524 to 776 of the family's 1533-position model. The record is from RNAcentral.